RNAcentral lists this long non-coding RNA (205 nucleotides) under Gossypium raimondii (Peruvian cotton). Its description in RNAcentral is "long non-coding RNA (GRAI_LNC010023)". The record is from RNAcentral. Lineage: Eukaryota; Viridiplantae; Streptophyta; Magnoliopsida; Malvales; Malvaceae.
UGGGGCCGUUACAUAUGACGCAUCAAGUUUUUGGCGUCGUUGCUGGGGACUAAGAAAACUUUAUUUCUAUGAAUUUAAUCAAUUUUAUUCUAAUUUUGAUAUUUUUUAAUUUAAUUUUUUGUUUAAUUCUUAUAGUUUUUUUUUAUUUAUGACUAGAGGCAACCCGUUAGAACCAUUAGUUUUCUUACAAUAAGAUCGAAAAGAC